Molecule: transfer RNA, 72 nt
Filed under: Camelus bactrianus (Bactrian camel)
Lineage: Eukaryota; Metazoa; Chordata; Mammalia; Artiodactyla; Camelidae
Also listed under: 2 other names
Rfam family: tRNA
About the family: Transfer RNA (tRNA) molecules are approximately 80 nucleotides in length.
Source: Rfam by way of RNAcentral
GUGGAUAUAGCUCAGUGGUAGAGGGCAUGCUUAGCAUGCACGAGAUCCUGGGUUCAAUCCCCAGUACCUCCA